Long non-coding RNA from Oryzias melastigma (Indian medaka), 665 nucleotides. RefSeq lists it as uncharacterized. The transcript is spliced from 4 exons. The record is from RefSeq and is a predicted model, not a curated record. Lineage: Eukaryota; Metazoa; Chordata; Actinopteri; Beloniformes; Adrianichthyidae.
CCACCUCCAACAAGAAGCCCCGCCUCCUUUUUCCUGUCCGGCGUGUCAAUGAGCGUCAGAGAAAAACCAGAUCAGAUCCUGAUCCUCUGACUGUGCAGCACCGGCUGUUCUCUUGGUAGACAACAGCAGGUUGAGGGUUUGAUUCCAGGAAGGCUCUCACUCUGACAUCAACAUUUCCACCUGCUGCCCCUCCCACCUGUGCUGCCCCGCCUCCAUCCCAGGUGGACUCUUUCUUCCUGGUUCAGUGUGUGCUGCAGCUGCGUUGACUCAGUGAAGGCUGGAAGAAGGUGUGUGGGAGCUGAUCCUCAAUCCAGCAGCAUGGAUCAGUGGGAGAUGGGAGAUAGGGAGAUGGGAGAUACAGAAAGGAGAGAUGGUAACCAUGACAACCAGAGCAAAGCUCAGAGUCUUCACAGGAACCAACCUGGACCUGGAUCUGGACCUGGACCUAGAUCUGCAUCUGGAUCUGGAUCCGGAUCCAGCUGUGUGUCCUUCAAGAGUGACAGGUCAAAGGGCAAUAAUCCUGAAUUCAAUGCCGCCAGUUCAACAGUAGAACAGACACAACCUGGACCUGGAUCUGGAUCUGGAUCCAGCUGUGUAUCCCACAUGAGUGACAGGUCAAAGGGCAAUAAUCCUGAAUUCAAAGCCGCCAGUUCACCAGUGGAUCA